Molecule: ribosomal RNA, 510 nt
Filed under: uncultured bacterium
Lineage: Bacteria
Description: bacterial SSU rRNA
Rfam family: Bacterial small subunit ribosomal RNA
Source: RNAcentral
GCAAACUGGCGGCGUGCCUAAUAAUGCAAGUAGAACGCUGACCUCUGGUGCUUGCACUAGAGUGAUGAGUUGCGAACGGGUGAGUAACGCGUAGGUAACCUACCUUUAAGCGGGGGAUAACUAUUGGAAACGAUAGCUAAUACCGCAUAACAACUUUUAACACAUGUUAGGAGUUUGAAAGGGGCAACUGCCUCACUUAGAGAUGGACCUGCGUUGUAUUAGCUAGUUGGUAGGGUAAAGGCCUACCAAGGCGACGAUACAUAGCCGACCUGAGAGGGUGAUCGGCCACACUGGGACUGAGACACGGCCCAGACUCCUACGGGAGGCAGCAGUAGGGAAUCUUCGGCAAUGGGGGCAACCCUGACCGAGCAACGCCGCGUGAGUGAAGAAGGUUUUAGGAUCGUAAAGCUCUGUUGUAAGAGAAGAAUGUUGUGUAGAGUGGAAAGUUACACAAGUGACGGUAUCUUACCAGAAAGGGACGGCUAACUACGUGCCAGCAGCCGCGGUAAU